UCGCCGCGCCGGCUCCGCUGCGCCCGGCCUGCCGGCCUCCGCGGGGUCUUCCCGGCCGCUCGGGCCUCCUGCCCUUGCCUCCGCGGAGGGAGUGGGUGCCGUUUCCUGGGCGGACGGCGGUGGGCAGGUCCCCCCCACCUCCCCCCCAAACACACACCUCACCCCCCCUCCGCCCCUGCUGCACCGUCCCCGGCGGAGGCCGCAGGUGCCCGGGCCCCGCGCUCCGCCGGCCGCGGUCGAGGGGAAGGGGGUCGCUCUCGGGGGAGAAGAGUCAGGCUAAGAGGCGGUGGGGCCGGGGUCUGUUUACCACCUCUCGCGGCCGCCCCUCGGAACCUGUCAUGUCCAGCCUGGAAGAGCAACUUCAGGUUUUGGAUUCCUUUGAGAUUCUGGCAUACACACUGGACAUCUGUUUAGACAACAUAGUUAAACAAAAUUUUGUGUAUAAUUUUGUUUUCAACCUCCCCCCAACCUAGUCAAGUUCAUCCCAUGGACUACUACAGUAAGAGUUUUAAGGAAGAGCAGACGGAUCUGUGAAAUGCUGAAUGAACAUGUCUUUCUUAAAGUUUUGUAUAUUUUUAAUAAAUACUUCUUCAUGGUUACUGUU
Molecule: long non-coding RNA, 604 nt
Organism: Myotis myotis
Lineage: Eukaryota; Metazoa; Chordata; Mammalia; Chiroptera; Vespertilionidae
Exons: 2
Source: RefSeq, a predicted model, not a curated record